This 71-nucleotide transfer RNA is filed under the name Loxodonta africana (African savanna elephant). It matches the Rfam family "tRNA". From Rfam's summary of the family: Transfer RNA (tRNA) molecules are approximately 80 nucleotides in length. Their secondary structure includes four short double-helical elements and three loops (D, anti-codon, and T loops). The record is from Rfam by way of RNAcentral. Lineage: Eukaryota; Metazoa; Chordata; Mammalia; Proboscidea; Elephantidae.
GCAGUGGUGCUUCAGUGGUAGGAUUUUGACCUUCAACGUGGGAGACCCAGGUUUGAUUCCCGGCCAGUGCA